Molecule: long non-coding RNA, 1309 nt
Organism: Gorilla gorilla gorilla (western lowland gorilla)
Lineage: Eukaryota; Metazoa; Chordata; Mammalia; Primates; Hominidae
Exons: 5
Source: RefSeq, a predicted model, not a curated record
GGUUAGUUAUAAAAGUGAGUUGGGCUCCUCUUGCCCUCUCUCCUGUGUUCUCUGGCAUGUGGUACCUUUCACCAAACACCAAAUGGACUAAGACAACUACUUCAUCAUCACAACAAACUUAUUGAGGAACCCUAUUUUUACCAGCAUUUGUAAAAUGAGAAAACUCAAACACAGUGGGAUAUGCAACCGCCGAAAUUCACACGAUUCACCACUGUGCUGUCCAGCUGGCUCUGAAGAAGCAAGCCACCACAUUGCUCACUGCUCAUGGAGAGGAACACACAUGGAGGAACUGUGCAUAGCCUCCAGGAGCUGAGUGUAGCUUCCAGGUGACAGUCAGGAAAAAUCUAGAGCUCUCAGUCCUACUACCGAGAGAUCAUCUAGUAAGAGACUGCAAAAAAAGAAGAGCAACUGGGAGCAAUUCCUAAGAAUAACCAAUAUUUAAAGUUUAGUUAGAAAAGGAACCAGCAGUAGCUGAGACAUAUUUAUGAGCACUGGGUCCACCCUCAAGAAACUGCUGUAUCACCAUACUCUUCUAAUACUCUAAGAAUUCUUCUUCAUAUGUAUCUGCCCCUAUUUUCUGCCUCGGUGGUUGUUCAGCAUUAAUUCAGGAGGAUUCAGAGAAAAACAGUUUUAACAGGCACAGCUUUAACAUUCAUUUUCGACCCACUGAAGAGGAGAUGAGCUUAUUGGCUGGUGCACCUUGACAACAUGUAGGUGGAAAACAGGACAUUCAGUCUUUGGUGCAGAGUGGUCUGGGAGAUACUUAUGAACCAUUUUAGCACAUUUCAGGACCAGGUAACAAAAUCAACACUGCACUGAAGUGGCAUCAGGAAGAUCCAUCCACAGAAGCAAUGUCUGCUAUGCAGGAAGCAGCUUCAUCAAGGUGGAAGCAGGUCUGUGCUUCCAGGCUGGCCAGUAUCGUUCAUGAAAACAGCACAUUGUGGCUGACUAUGGUUUGAAGAAACAAAGGAAGCCAAAGAAAACAAAAAAUGCUAACGGAGAAUUUAAUCCAUCUCUCAGAGGUGGAGGAAGUUUCAUUGGAAUUGCUCCCUGUUCUUUUACUCUUCUUUCCCCCGAAGGGAGUGUGGUAGAUUGAGUUUAGAAGACAGCCCUGAACAUGUAUGGCUCAGCCCUUUUGCUCCAUUUUGUCUUGGAGAAGGGCUGGAUUCUGUGCUAUUCUCCUGUGCUUUAAGUUUUGUAGCUACGGGAUUUAUCUAACAGCCUGACUGGUUUGGAAAGUCUGUCUUAUUUUGAUGUUUUCUGUUACCUAGCCCGCUAACAUGUUUUUCAAGAAAUAUAGCUAGUAUUU